CUCAUACUCUGCAAGGGGAAAAGGCCUAGUUGACCACCAAGGAAGAGAACGGCAUGGGUCAAGACCUGUGUGACUACUGUAUCUGAGCCGUAAAUUGCACUCUGCACUAUCUGAGAUUGUCUCACUAGUUUUUUUCGGCUUAAUGCCCUAAAAGGUAAUAGCCGAUGUGAUGUCCAGAUGUAGAUGUACUGCAAAAGCUCUCGCUGUGGAGCUUUUGAGGCUGAACACCCCGAGAAGUAUCAAAACCGCUAUUUUAACCCCUAUGAGGUACGACGAGCUCCCCCGUCCUUUUUACAUGGGAAUCCCUCCCCCGGGGUCCCGGGUGUACACAAAUCACUUUUGCGAUUCACUUCUGGGCCCCCAUUUCGUGAGUGACAGACGUUCGAGUCACGUGGUAGGUGCGGCGACUUGACGAGAUACGUGCAAUUCAGCUGUGUUGGUGUUCGAGUCAGCGCGUGGUCGCGGCUGGUUCACAGGUCAAGCGGACUGCAGCAACAUACAGCUUCAGCUGAGGCUGUAAUUUGUGUGCAUUGCAUGUGAGGUGUGCGCUCGUUCGCAAGACGGGUCAAAGACGCGCGCGGCUUCAUGAGAAAUGUGGUGUCCUGCAUGUCGAGGUAAGCUUCUGACAUCGUGUUUGCAUGUGUUGUUAGGGUUAUAAGUGUUUUUAACACGGAAUAAAAGCAAUGUUAAUAAAGCGCGGCUGGACAGCUGGUCUUUCGCGAACCUACUCAAAGUAUAGUGCAGAGGAUAUUUAAGCUUGCCUUCAGAACGUUCUUUUACUCAGAAACCCGUGGGUACGUGCUACAGUGGUGAACAGAUGAAUAUGUAAUUGGUCUAAGUAUUAAACUAGAGUGCUACCGUGGUUCGCAGUCCCGAAGUGGACGAGUCAACAAACUGACGUCAGUUUUUCGCGCGUCUGUCCUGUUAUUGAUCAUGAAUUUUGUCAUAAGGUCGUCAAAGUAGCUGUGGAUCCGCAGACCACUUUGACAAUGCUAUGACGAAAUUCAUUACCAAUAACUAAUUGAUCUAAACAUUAAACUGGAGUGCUACCGCAGUCCGCAGUCCCGAAGUGGAUGAAUUAACCAAUUGAUGUCAGUGUUUCAUGCGUCUGUGCUGUUAUUGAUCAUGAAUUUCAUCAUAACAUUGUCAAAGCAGCUGUGGAUCCAUAGACUACUUUGACAAUAUUAUGACGAAAUUUAUUGUCAAUAGCAGGACAGCCAUAUGAAAAAGUGAGGUCAAUUCGUUUUUUUACGAUAACAACAUCGCAUAAUUAUCAAUUCAUAUUUAUGUCUGCGUAUUGACAAUGAAAAUUAGCCAAUGAGUAUGCAAGAAUUUUUGCAGUUAUCGAAGAAUAAGUAAUUGAUCUAAGUAUUAAACUGAGUGCUAAUGCAGUCCACAGUCCCAUAGUGGGUGAAUAAGUAAUUGAUGUAAGCAGUUCGCAUAGUAUGUUGGUUAACUAUAAUUAGCCUGACGGGUAGUCAGCAUUCAUUUUUCAACAGCCAAACGAAAAUGCUCCCCGGGUCCCCUCAUGCCUUAUUUGUCAAACCCCCUAAGAGCUGCAUUGUUUCCAUCAACCAAUCAAAAUCAAGUUAGUUGUGUUUACAAAAUUUUUAAAAACGGCUAAGUGUGAGCAGCAGUUGAGCAGUGUGCUAAUCUAUCUUUAUUUGUAUCUAUGCCCAAAAAGCGACCUAUGCGGAAGGGAUGACUUCAUCAUGGAAAUGGAACUAGACAUGUUAUGUGUUACAGUAUACUUAAAGUCCCAGUUCGACGAAAAUUUACAUCAUUUUUUCCCCACAUUUUUUGCACAGAAUAGCCAAUUUUAGUGUAAAACAUUCUCCGAUGUAAAGAAAAUUGAAUAUAAUGACUGUUAAGAUAAAAAAAAAAUUGCUAUAAACUUAAGAUUUUUUUGUCCGCCAUUGCACGAAACCGGUUGCAGUUGAGCCUACAUGAGUAUAGGCUACUUGGAGCCUCUCAUUUUAUUUCUUUUUACAUGCACUAAGUAAGCAUCUUCCCUGCAUCUUCUUGUCCAUUUUGUAUUCAUCGCGGCCAUUUUGUUAUUGUCAACAAACCCAAGCUAUGUCCAGAUAAGGAAAUGGAUGGAUGAGUAAAGUUAGACUGGGAUUGAAAGGUUUACACAUGAAAAGAAAUAAAACAAAACAUCUAUGUCUUGGUUGACCUUUAUUAUGGUGUUGUUUGCCAACUUUACAGAAGGAUCAGCGAGGAUAAUGUUCGAUCUUAACUGAGUUUUUGCCCGUAAAAACAACAUUGCUAAAAAUAUCACUAAAUGCUCACUUUGGCUUUUUGUCACUACUUUGCAAUGCUCACGUCCUCCAGCCAAGUUUCUGCCACAUUCGCUGAACAGUUUUCGACUAUACUUCAGUGUAAAAUCUCACUGAAAGUAUUCGUGUAAAAACAAGAGCCGAAAGUUUGGUUGCAUUUUUUUAUCGAUGGCGUUAAAAGUGCUUGGCAAGCUGAUUGCUUCUUCCUUUCCUCAGGCAAUCACACAGACUACCAGUUACUUUGUAUCGUUUCGGAGAAAGACUUCUGGCCUUCAAGUUACAAUACCAUCUUCCCGUAUUUUUAGAGUAACUGGACUCACAUUGUCACCGGGAAAAUUUAAGUUUACUUUUCGUAUUCUCGCAUAAGGUGACAUUUUUAACCUAUUUCAUGAAUUGAAAAUGAGUGUCGCUAAUCUUGUAAACAAGUUCUCGGAAACCUUGUUCUUCUGAAUGAGUUCCAAGAAUGCUUACUGAUGGAACGCUAACAGAAUGGGAACAGAAAAGAACAGAACGGAUAAAGAAUGGAUAUGGAAUGGAUGCGGAACAGAUAUGGAACAGAUAUGGAGUGGAUACGGAACGGGAACGAGAACGCUUGUGGAAUGGAAACAGAACAUGUUCUGUCAAGGUGUUCCCUGUUAGGUUUCUUCUGAUUGGUACUGUAUUGUUACUUUAUUGAGAAAAGCAUUUUAAACCAUUUUAAAUACCACCAUCAUUCACCUGGUACAAUUAUCAAGUCU
This 3016-nucleotide long non-coding RNA is filed under the name Orbicella faveolata. Its description in RNAcentral is "uncharacterized LOC110050412, transcript variant X1". Lineage: Eukaryota; Metazoa; Cnidaria; Anthozoa; Scleractinia; Merulinidae. The record is from RNAcentral.